RNAcentral lists this ribosomal RNA (728 nucleotides) under uncultured Bacteroidales bacterium. RNAcentral describes it as "bacterial SSU rRNA". It matches the Rfam family "Bacterial small subunit ribosomal RNA", at positions 51 to 773 of the family's 1533-position model. Lineage: Bacteria; Pseudomonadati; Bacteroidota; Bacteroidia; Bacteroidales. The record is from RNAcentral.
ACACAUGCAAGUCGAGGGGCAGCACGAGGUAGCAAUACUUUGGUGGCGACCGGCGCACGGGUGCGUAACGCGUAUGCAACCCACCUUUAACAGGGGCAUAACACUGAGAAAUUGGUACUAAUUCCCCAUAACAUUCGAGAAGGCAUCUUCUUGGGUUAAAAACUCCGGUGGUUAAAGAUGGGCAUGCGUUGUAUUAGCUAGUUGGUGAGGUAACGGCUCACCAAGGCAACGAUACAUAGGGGGACUGAGAGGUUAACCCCCCACAUUGGUACUGAGACACGGACCAAACUCCUACGGGAGGCAGCAGUGAGGAAUAUUGGUCAAUGGACGCAAGUCUGGACCAGCCAUGCCGCGUGCAGGAAGACGGCUCUAUGAGUUGUAAACUGCUUUUGUACUAGGGUAAACGCUUCUACGUGUAGGAGCCUGAAAGUAUAGUACGAAUAAGGAUCGGCUAACUCCGUGCCAGCAGCCGCGGUAAUCCGGAGGAUCCAAGCGUUAUCCGGAUUUAUUGGGUUUAAAGGGUGCGUAGGCGGUUUGAUAAGUUAGAGGUGAAAUACCGGGGCUCAACUCCGGAACUGCCUCUAAUACUGUUGAACUAGAGAGUAGUUGCGGUAGGCGGAAUGUAUGGUGUAGCGGUGAAAUGCUUAGAGAUCAUACAGAACACCGAUUGCGAAGGCAGCUUACCAAACUAUAUCUGACGUUGAGGCACGAAAGCGUGGGGAGCAAAC